RNAcentral lists this ribosomal RNA (301 nucleotides) under uncultured bacterium. RNAcentral's name for it is "partial 16S ribosomal RNA". It matches the Rfam family "Bacterial small subunit ribosomal RNA", at positions 509 to 809 of the family's 1533-position model. The record is from RNAcentral.
CAGCAGCCGCGGUAAUACGAAGGGUGCAAGCGUUACUCGGAAUUACUGGGCGUAAAGCGUGCGUAGGUGGUGGUUUAAGUCCGUUGUGAAAGCCCUGGGCUCAACCUGGGAAUUGCAGUGGAUACUGGGUCACUAGAGUGUGGUAGAGGAUAGUGGAAUUUCCGGUGUAGCAGUGAAAUGCGUAGAGAUCGGAAGGAACAUCUGUGGCGAAGGCGACUAUCUGGGCCAACACUGACACUGAGGCACGAAAGCGUGGGGAGCAAACAGGAUUAGAUACCCGCGUAGUCCCUGUCUCUUAUAU